RNAcentral lists this ribosomal RNA (269 nucleotides) under uncultured prokaryote. Its description in RNAcentral is "partial 16S ribosomal RNA". It matches the Rfam family "Bacterial small subunit ribosomal RNA", at positions 524 to 792 of the family's 1533-position model. The record is from RNAcentral.
UACGGAGGUGGCAAGCGUUAUCCGGAAUUAUUGGGCGUAAAGAGCGCGCAGGUGGUUGAUUAAGUCUGAUGUGAAAGCCCACGGCUUAACCGUGGAGGGUCAUUGGAAACUGGUCGACUUGAGUGCAGAAGAGGGAAGUGGAAUUCCAUGUGUAGCGGUGAAAUGCGUAGAGAUAUGGAGGAACACCAGUGGCGAAGGCGGCUUCCUGGUCUGUAACUGACACUGAGGCGCGAAAGCGUGGGGAGCAAACAGGAUUAGAUACCCCCGUA